Molecule: ribosomal RNA, 408 nt
Filed under: uncultured bacterium
Lineage: Bacteria
Description: partial 16S ribosomal RNA
Rfam family: Bacterial small subunit ribosomal RNA
Source: RNAcentral
GACGAACGCUGGCGGCGUGCCUAAUACAUGCAAGUCGAACGGAGUGGCGCACGGGUGAGAAAACUAUAGCUAAUCUGCCCCUUGCUGGAGGACAACAGAUAGAAAUGACUGCUAAUACUCCAUAGCAAGGGAUGAUAGUAUAUCGUAUCAGCUAGUCGGUGGGGUAACGGCCUACCGAGGCUAUGACGCGUAACACGUCUGAGAGGAUGAUCAGUCACAUGGGAACUGAGACACGGUCCAAACUCCUACGGGAGGCAGCAGUAGGGAAUAGUGCGCAAUGGGCGAAACUCUGACGAAGCAACGCCGCGUGGAGGAUGACACUUUUCGGAGCGUAAAUUACUUUUGUUAGGGAAGCGGUACCUAACGAAUAAGCACCGGCUAACUCCGUGCCAGCAGCCGCGGUAAUUC